AUGGGAUGCUGCAGCCUGAGAGCCAGGCAUGAUGGCUCUGCAGGAGAAAGCCAGGAUGAGGUGGAGCUGUUGAAGACAGGCAGGACCAGAAAAUGGUCCAUUUCAGACGGCCAGAGUGAGGGAUCCCUCCAACCUAAGGACCCUGCAACUCCCACGCAGACAGAAGGGGUGAGUAUGAGCAGGGUCAGGCAGGCAAAGAUUAACAUGGGGAAGAAACCAGUUCAUCUCAGUUUCUGCUCUACAAAUUCACUUGCAAUAAAGUCCAUCACCACAAUCAGUGCAGGGAUAUUAACUGGGUCCACGCUUUACCCCCAUUGCUGAGAGCAUGCGCUGAGAGAGGGGAAAUGA
Molecule: long non-coding RNA, 348 nt
Filed under: Coturnix japonica (Japanese quail)
Lineage: Eukaryota; Metazoa; Chordata; Aves; Galliformes; Phasianidae
Description: lncRNA (ENSCJPG00005011225.1)
Source: RNAcentral